RNAcentral lists this unclassified non-coding RNA (334 nucleotides) under soil metagenome. Its description in RNAcentral is "partial contains 5.8S ribosomal RNA, internal transcribed spacer 2, and large subunit ribosomal RNA". The stretch from base 1 to 120 matches the Rfam family "5.8S ribosomal RNA", at positions 35 to 154 of the family's 154-position model. The record is from RNAcentral.
GAUGAAGAACGCAGCGAAAUGAGAUAAGUAAUGUGAAUUGCAGAAUUCAGUGAAUCAUCGAAUCUUUGAACGCACAUUGCGCCCGCCAGUAUUCUGGCGAGCAUGCCUGUUCGAGCGUCAUUUCAACCAUCAAGCCCCAGGCUUGUGUUGGAGCCCUGCGGCUGCCGCAGCCUCCCAAAACCAGUGGCGGGCUCGCUAUCACACCGAGUGCAGUAGUUUACUCUUCGCUCAGGGCGUGUGGCGGGUGCUAGCCGUGAAACCCCCAACUUCUCAAGGUUGACCUCGGAUCAGGCAGGAAUACCCGCUGAACUUAAGCAUAUCAAUAAGCGGAGGA